This 358-nucleotide ribosomal RNA is filed under the name uncultured Streptococcus sp. RNAcentral describes it as "bacterial SSU rRNA". It matches the Rfam family "Bacterial small subunit ribosomal RNA", at positions 1021 to 1382 of the family's 1533-position model. The record is from RNAcentral. Lineage: Bacteria; Bacillati; Bacillota; Bacilli; Lactobacillales; Streptococcaceae.
CGGUACAUCGGUGACAGGUGGUGCAUGGUUGUCGUCAGCUCGUGUCGUGAGAUGUGGUUAAGUCCCGCAACGAGCGCAACCCCUAUUGUUAGUUGCCAUCAUUCAGUUGGGCACUCUAGCGAGACUGCCGGUAAUAAACCGGAGGAAGGUGGGGAUGACGUCAAAUCAUCAUGCCCCUUAUGACCUGGGCUACACACGUGCUACAAUGGUUGGUACAACGAGUUGCGAGUCGGUGACGGCGAGCUAAUCUCUUAAAGCCAAUCUCAGUUCGGAUUGUAGGCUGCAACUCGCCUACAUGAAGUCGGAAUCGCUAGUAAUCGCGGAUCAGCACGCCGCGGUGAAUACGUUCCCGGGCCUU